RNAcentral lists this ribosomal RNA (913 nucleotides) under Vibrio fortis. RNAcentral's name for it is "bacterial SSU rRNA". It matches the Rfam family "Bacterial small subunit ribosomal RNA", at positions 543 to 1455 of the family's 1533-position model. The record is from RNAcentral. Lineage: Bacteria; Pseudomonadati; Pseudomonadota; Gammaproteobacteria; Vibrionales; Vibrionaceae.
AAUCGGAAUUACUGGGCGUAAAGCGCAUGCAGGUGGUUUGUUAAGUCAGAUGUGAAAGCCCGGGGCUCAACCUCGGAACUGCAUUUGAAACUGGCAAACUAGAGUACUGUAGAGGGGGGUAGAAUUUCAGGUGUAGCGGUGAAAUGCGUAGAGAUCUGAAGGAAUACCAGUGGCGAAGGCGGCCCCCUGGACAGAUACUGACACUCAGAUGCGAAAGCGUGGGGAGCAAACAGGAUUAGAUACCCUGGUAGUCCACGCCGUAAACGAUGUCUACUUGGAGGUUGUGGCCUUGAGCCGUGGCUUUCGGAGCUAACGCGUUAAGUAGACCGCCUGGGGAGUACGGUCGCAAGAUUAAAACUCAAAUGAAUUGACGGGGGCCCGCACAAGCGGUGGAGCAUGUGGUUUAAUUCGAUGCAACGCGAAGAACCUUACCUACUCUUGACAUCCAGAGAACUUAGCAGAGAUGGAUUGGUGCCUUCGGGAACUCUGAGACAGGUGCUGCAUGGCUGUCGUCAGCUCGUGUUGUGAAAUGUUGGGUUAAGUCCCGCAACGAGCGCAACCCUUAUCCUUGUUUGCCAGCGAGUAAUGUCGGGAACUCCAGGGAGACUGCCGGUGAUAAACCGGAGGAAGGUGGGGACGACGUCAAGUCAUCAUGGCCCUUACGAGUAGGGCUACACACGUGCUACAAUGGCGCAUACAGAGGGCAGCCAACUCGCGAGAGUGAGCGAAUCCCAAAAAGUGCGUCGUAGUCCGGAUUGGAGUCUGCAACUCGACUCCAUGAAGUCGGAAUCGCUAGUAAUCGUAGAUCAGAAUGCUACGGUGAAUACGUUCCCGGGCCUUGUACACACCGCCCGUCACACCAUGGGAGUGGGCUGCAAAAGAAGUGGGUAGUUUAACCUUCGGGAGGACGCUC